AGGCUUAACACAUGCAAGUCGAGGGGAAACGACAUCGAAAGCUUGCUUUUGAUGGGCGUCGACCGGCGCACGGGUGAGUAACGCGUAUCCAACCUGCCCACCACUUGGGGAUAACCUUGCGAAAGUAAGACUAAUACCCAAUGAUAUCUCUAGAAGACAUCUGAAGGAGAUUAAAGAUUUAUCGGUGAUGGAUGGGGAUGCGUCUGAUUAGCUUGUUGGCGGGGUAACGGCCCACCAAGGCAACGAUCAGUAGGGGUUCUGAGAGGAAGGUCCCCCACAUUGGAACUGAGACACGGUCCAAACUCCUACGGGAGGCAGCAGUGAGGAAUAUUGGUCAAUGGACGAGAGUCUGAACCAGCCAAGUAGCGUGCAGGAUGACGGCCCUAUGGGUUGUAAACUGCUUUUAUAAGGGAAUAAAGUGAGUCUCGUGAGACUUUUUGCAUGUACCUUAUGAAUAAGGACCGGCUAAUUCCGUGCCAGCAGCCGCGGUAAUACGGAAGGUCCGGGCGUUAUCCGGAUUUAUUGGGUUUAAAGGGAGCGUAGGCCGGAGAUUAAGCGUGUUGUGAAAUGUAGACGCUCAACGUCUGCACUGCAGCGCGAACUGGUUUCCUUGAGUACGCACAAAGUGGGCGGAAUUCGUGGUGUAGCGGUGAAAUGCUUAGAUA
This 665-nucleotide ribosomal RNA is filed under the name uncultured Bacteroidales bacterium. RNAcentral describes it as "bacterial SSU rRNA". It matches the Rfam family "Bacterial small subunit ribosomal RNA", at positions 44 to 696 of the family's 1533-position model. The record is from RNAcentral. Lineage: Bacteria; Pseudomonadati; Bacteroidota; Bacteroidia; Bacteroidales.